GGUGUUAAUAUCCUACCGGACUAGGAGCUUCCGGGAAACCAAAGUUUUUCGUUUCCGGGGGAAGUAUGGUUGCAAAGCUGAAACUUAAAGGAAUUGACGGAAGGGCACCACCAGGAGUGGAGCCUGCGGCUUAAUUUGACUCAACACGGGAAAACUCACCCGGCCCGGACACCGUAAGGAUUGACAGACUGAAAGCUCUUUCUUAAUUCGGUGGGUGGUGGUGCAUGGCCGUUCUUAGUUGGUGGAGCGAUUUGUCUGGUUAAUUCCGAUAACGAACGAAACUCUGGCCUACUAAAUAAACAGAGGAUCAAUAAUGACUGGCCUUCUUUCUUAAAGGAAAAAAGGGUUUCUACCCCCCUAAAAUAAAAAAAAAAAAGGCCGGGAAGGCCUUAAAUUGCCGGGGGCGGCCCCCCCCCUACCUGAAAAAA
Molecule: ribosomal RNA, 428 nt
Filed under: uncultured eukaryote
Lineage: Eukaryota
Description: partial 18S ribosomal RNA
Rfam family: Eukaryotic small subunit ribosomal RNA
Source: RNAcentral